GCCAGGCGAGGUGGCUCACACCUGUAAUCCCAGUAGCUUUGGAGGCUGAUAUAGGAGGAUUGUGAGUUCAAAGUCAGCCUCAGCAAUGGUGAGGUGCUAAGCAAUUCAGUGAGACCCUGUCUCUA
Molecule: small RNA, 125 nt
Filed under: Marmota monax (woodchuck)
Lineage: Eukaryota; Metazoa; Chordata; Mammalia; Rodentia; Sciuridae
Source: RNAcentral